CAUUAGGCGCGUGCGUGCGUGCGUGUUGGUAGAGAGGGGAUUCAGUUCAGGCAUGGCACAAAUUACACUCUUCAAUCUCUCUGUCUGGACUGGGUGGGAUCCGUGAUUUCAACAGAACUAGACUUCACAGCUAUGGAUCCUGACGACAUGGACGAAGAUCAACUGCUUGAUUACGCUAUUCAGAUGAGCAUUCAAGAGUCAUGCCCCAAAUAUUAUUAUCAUCUUUAGAGAGUGAUGAACAUCUGAAGAUCCUAAAGGCUAUUGAUCGAGGUGACAUUCUCGCCCUCCAAGAGCUGUCAGAAUUUCAAGAAGGCUUCAGUGAGGCAGAUGACAGGGGCUGGUACCCUCUGCACAAGGCAGCUGUCCAACCUCUGGUGAAAAUGCUGGAGAUAGUGUUGUGUGCGUCUUUUAGGUUGUCCCUGUAGGAGAAGACAAUGGAGGGAGAAACACUGCUAACUCCAGCAGCUAUGGCUGGUCUGGUGGACAAUGUGAAGAUGAUACUUGAACAUGGAGCGUCUCCCCAUAACACCAACAGCAAGAAAGAAUCCCCUCUACUGCAGACGGCGGGAGGGAUAUCUGACCUUUUCAUCCAUGUAACGCUUGAUGUAGUGGGUGUGGAGUCAGGCGCAGGAAACAAGAGCGCUUGCUAUCGUGUUCCCCGUAUGCUGUAUGAUGCUGCACAAUCUGGGAAUCCAGACUGUAUAGAUUUCCUUCUGCGACAUGGAGCCAGCCCCAAUGUACCUAGCCUGUGCUCAGAGCUACCCAUUCAUCGAACAGCAUAUGAGGGCCAUUACCUGUGAGUACAACCUGUCACUGAGAAUUUUUAUUCUGAUAGAAGGGCAAUCAGACUUUCAGGCCAGAGUUCCAUUCACUCUGCAGCCGACGGAGUCCAUGUACAAUGCCUGGAGAUACUCGUGGAAAAGGGCUUUGAUGUCAACUCUCUCCUAGACUUUCACAUCGCUGAAGACUACAGAGACAUGAGAAAAAGUGCAUUGUACUUUACUGUCUCUAAUGGAGACGUGACCUGCACUGAAAUACUGCUGAACACAGGAGACAAAACUGACCUGGCCGCUCUAUUCUGCCUCCUGGUGGCGGUGAGAGAUGGGCAGUACGAGAUUGUGAAGCUGCUUUUGGCCAGACAGGCAGACAUCAUUUGUUACUUUGCCGUGGUGGGUGACACAGUAUUUCCCACGGCUCUGCAGUACUGCCUGCGGGACGAGAUGAUGAUGCGUCUGCUGCUCAACAACGGCUAUGACGCAGAUAAAUGUUUCUGCUGUACCCAUGACAGCACCUGGGAUGACCUGAGUGACCAGACUGAUUCCAAUUAUCAAGAAAAAGUUUCUUUCUGUAAUUUCAUCAGAGUUUCCUGGCUGGUGCACUUGGCUGGGAGAGCAGUGUGGAUCCUUCUGGACUACGUCAGUCACGUGCCUCUCUGUCCAAAGCUGAGACAGAUCCUGGAUAAGCACAAAGAGUGGCCUUAGAUCAGCUACAUAUUAGGUGGGUAGUUUGAUCAAAUUUAAAGGAAAAAACAAGAUAAAUGUGUAGGCAAUGCAAUGGCCAUGAGUAGGGGACAUGGCCCACUAAAAACCCAAACUACCUUUGCUCCUGAACCUGAAACCUCUCUUCUGUCUUACUUCUCUGACCAAGCGAAAUCCCGUUCACUGACACAUCUGUGCAGACUGGUGAUCAGGAAACAGAUGACUCCAAAGAGACUGGAGGAUCCAAACAUCAGGGACUCCGCCCCCUUCCCACCCAGACUUUUUUAAAUUCACCUUUAAAUAAAUGUCACCUUUAUUUAACCAGGUAGGCCAGUUGAGAACAAGUUCUCAUUUACAACUGCGACCUGGCCAAGAUAAAGCAAAGCAGUGCGACACAAACAACACAGAGUCACACAUGGGAUAAACAAACAUACAGUCAAUAACACAAUGGAAAUGUCUACAUACAGUGUGUGUAAAUGUAGUAAGAUUAGGGAGGUAAGGCAAUAAAUAGGCCAUAGUGGCAAAAUAAUUACAAUUUAGCAAUUAACACUGGAGUGAUAGAUGUGCAGAAGAUGAAUGUGCAAGUAGAGAUACUGGGGUGAAAAAUGGCACAAAAAAAUAAUAACAACAUGGGGAUGGGGUAGUUGGGUGGGCUAUUUACAGAUGGGCUAUGUACAGGUGCAAUGAUUGGUAAGCUGCUCUGACAGCUGAUGCUUAAAGUUAGUGAGGGACAUAUAAGUCUCCAGCUUCAGUGAUGUUUACAAUUUGUUCCAGUCAUUGGCAGCAGAGAACUGAAAGGCGGCCAAAGGAGGAGUUGGCUUUGGGGGUGACCAGUGAAAUAUACCUGCUGGAGCGCGUGCUACGGGUGGGUGCUGCUAUGGUGACCAGUGAGCUGAGAUAAGGCGGGGCUUUACCCAGCUAAGACUUAUAGAUGACCUGGAGCCAGUGGGUUUGGCAACGAAUAUGAAGUGAGGGGCAGCCAACGAGAAAAUACAGGUCGCAGUGGUGGGUAGUAUAUGGGGCAUUGGUGAAAAAACGGAUGGCAUUGUGAUAGACUACAUCCAAUUUGCUGAGAAGAGUGUCAGAGGCUAUUUUGUAAAUGACAUUGCCGAAGUCAAGGAUCGGUAGGAUAGUCAGUUUUACGAGGGCAUGUUUGGCAGCAUGAGUGAAGGAUGCUUUGUUGCGAAAUAGGAAGACGAUUCUAGAUUUAAUUUUGGAUUGGAGAAGCUUAAUGUGGGUCUGAGUAGUCUAGAGUAGUGAAGCCAGACGGGCGGGUGCGGGCAGCGAUCGGUUGAAGAACAUGCAUUUAGUUUUGCUUGCAUUUAAGAGCAGUUGGAGGCCACGGAUGGAGUGUUUUACAACAUUGAAGCUCAUCUGGAGGUUUGUUAACACAGUGUGCAAAGAUGAGUCAGAAGUAUACAGAAUGGUGUCGUCUGCGUAGAGGUAGAUCAGAGAAUCACCAGCAGCAAGAGCGACAUCAUUGAUGUAUACAGAGAAAAGAGUCGGCCAAAGAAUUAAACCUUUGGGCACCCCCAUAGAGACUGCCAGAGGUCAGGACAACAGGCCCUCCGAUUUGACACACUGAACUCUACCUGAGAAGUAGUUGGUGAACCAGGCAAGGCAGUCAUUUGAGAAACCAAGGCUGUUGAGUCGUCCGAUAAGUAUGCGGUGAUUGACAGAGUCGAAAAUCUUGGCCAGGUCGAUGAAUAUGGCUGCACAGUAUUGUCUUUUAUCGAUCGCGGUUAUGAUAUCGUUUAGGACCUUGAGCGUGGCUGAGGUGCACCCAUGACCAGCUCGGAAACCAGAUUGCAUAGCGGAGAAGGUACAGUGGGAUUCGAAAUGGUCGGUGAUCUGUUUGUUAACUUUGCUUCCGGUGACUUUAGAAAGGCAGGGUAGGAUAGAUAUAGGUCUGUAACAGUUUGGGUCUGGAGUGUCACCCACUUUGAAGAGGGGGAUGGCCGCAGCAGUUUUCCAAUCUUUAGGGAUCUCAGAUGAUACGAAAGAGAGGUUGAACAGGCUAGUAAUAGGGGUUGCAACAAUUGCGGCGGAUAAUUUUAGAAAGAGAGGGUCCAGAUUGUCUAGCCUAGCUGAUUUGUAGGGUCCAGAUUUUGUAGCUCUUUCAGAAUAUCAGCUAUCUGGAUUUGGGUGAAGGAGAAAUGGGGGAGGCUUGGGUAAGUUGCUGUGGGGGGUGCAGAGCUGUUGACCGGGGUAGGGGUAGCCAGGUGGAAAGCAUGGCCAGCCGUAGAAAAAUGCUUAUUGAAAUUCUCGAUUAUCGUAGAUUUAUUGGUGAUGACAGUGUUUUCUAGCCUCAGUGCAGUGGGCAGCAGGGAGGAGGUGCUCUUAUUCUCCAUGGACUUUACAGUGUCCCAGAACUUUUUGGAGUUUGUGCUACAGGAUGCACAUUUCUGUUUGAAAAAACUAGCCUUUGUUUUCCUAACUGCCUGUGUAUAUUGGUUCCUAACUUCCCUGAAAAGUUGCAUAUCGCGGGGGCUGUUCGAUGCUAAUGCAGUAUGCCACAGGAUGUUUUUGUGCUGGUCAAGGGCAGUCAGGUCUGGAGUGAACCAAGGGCUAUAUUUGUUCUUAGUUUUAAAAAAACUGAAUGGGGCAUGCUUAUUUAAGAUGGUGAGGAAAGCAUUUUUAAAGAAUAACCAGGCAUCCUCUACUGAUGGAAUGAGGUCAAUAUCCUUCCAGGAUACCCGGGCCAGGUCGAUUAGAAAGGCCUGCUCGCUGAAGUGUUUUAGGGAGUGUUUGACAGUGAUGAGGGGUGGUUUGACCGUGGACCCAUUACGGAUGCAGGCAAUGAGGCAGUGAUCGCUGAGAUCCUGGUUGAAGACAGCAGAGGUGUAUUUAGAGGGCAGGUUGAUCAGGAGGAUAUCUAUGAGGGUGCCCAUGUUUACGGAUUUAGGGCUGUACCUGGUGGGUUCCAUGAUAAAUUGUAUAAGAUUGAGGGCAUCUAGCUUAGAUUGUAGGAUGGCCGGGGUGUUAAGCAUAUCCCAGUUUAGGUCACCUAACAGUACAAACUCCGAAGAUAAAUGGGGGGCAUUUAAUUCACGUAUGGUGUCCAGGGCACAGCUGGGGGCUGAGGUGAGUCUAUAACAAGCAGCAACAGUGAGAGACUUAUUUCUGGAGAGGUGGAUUUUUAAAAGUAGAAGCUCGAACUGUUUGGGUACAUACCUGGAUAGCAUGACAUAACUCUGCAGUAGAUUGCAACUCCACCCCCUUUGGCAGUUCUUUCUUGCCGGAAAAUAUUGUAGUUGGGGAUGGAAAUUUGUGGCAUUCCUAAGCCAGGAUUCAGACACGGCUAGGACAUCAGGGUUGGCAGAGUGUGCUAAAGCAGUGAAUAAAGCAAAUUUAGGGAGGAGGCUUCCGAUGUUAACAUGCAUGAAACCAAGGCUUUUGCGGUUACAGAAGUCAACAAAUGAUAGCGCCUGGGGAAUAGGAGUGGAACUAGGGGCUACAGGGCCAGGGUUAACUUCUAGGAGGAACAGAGGAGGAGUAGGAACAGGGAACAGGGUGGGAACAGGGUAGGAACCGGGUACGGCUAAAGGCUAUAAGAACUGGUCGUCUAGUGCGUUGGGGACAGAGAAUAAAAGGAGCAGAUUUCUGGGCAUGGUAGAAUAGAUUCAAGGCAUAAUGUACAGACAAGGAUAUGGUAGGAUGUGAGUACAGUGGAGGUAAACCUAGGCAUUGAGUGACGAUGAGAGAGGUUUCGUCUCUGGAGGGACAAGUUAAGCCAGGUGAGGUCUCUGCAUGUGUAUGGGGUGGGACGGAAGAGCUAUCUAAGGAAUUUUGAGCGGGACUGAAGGCUCUACAGUGAAAUAAAACAGUAAAAACUAGCCAAGACAGCAGUAGACAAGGCAUAUUGACAUUAGAGAGAGGCAUAAAGCAAUCACAGGUGUUGAUCAGGAGAGCUAAGACAGCAAUGGAAACAUGGCGAUGAAUGGGCAGAGUGGGUCAGUUAGGUACAUACAGGACCCGAGUUCGAGGCUGGGGCCGACAGGUAAACAAAAUGAGGUACCGUGUUCUUGAAACAGUCCAGGGGGCAUAGCUGUGUAGCAGAGUGAUCAUACGGUCAAAAGAACAGCAAUAGGUGAGUCAGGUUGCCGUUUUCUAGUCACUACUACGCUAGGCGAGCAGGGGACACAGCGUUCUGAAAAGUUAGCAUGUUGGGGCUAGUAGCUGGUUCUUCGGCGACAUCGUAACAAAAUAGCCUGCUGAGACCACAUCGAGCAAUCACGUCGGCAGUCCAGUCGUGAUGGAUCGACGGGGCUCCGUGUUGACAAUAAAGGGUCCAGGCCAAUUGGCAAAGGAGGUAUUUUAGCCCUAGAAUUAGCUGGUAUAUGGGCCUAGCUCACGGCUAGCUGGUGCUUGCUUUGGGACAGAGGCAUUAGCUAACAGUAGCCACUCGUUUGCAGCUAGCUAGCUAGAACUGAAGGAAUAGACUGAAGGAAUACCUAUUCUACAAAGAAAAUGAUUUGUAUGGCAAAAUUAUAUGUAUGGACAAGUGAAAGUCUGUUGUGUUUAAUAGUUAGGGUGAGGCACAAUGAAAUAGUUCACAUAAGGAAGGAGGGAUGAUGGUUCUUAUAGUAAAUGAUGGCAUUUACUUGGAUCCAGAAUAAGAAUAUGUAUGUUUAUUUUAUUUAUAAAGAGACUAGACCACUUAACAAUGAGAACAAUCAUCUGUAUUCAUAAACUCGUCUUAAAAGUAUACUUUCAUUUUGCAACGUCGUUUUUCAAUAAUUUAUUUAUUUUCAUUUACUGUUCGUCUUUGCUUUUACAGUGAAUUGAAUUCAUGGCAAUAAGACUCAUUCCAUGUUGCUGUUGUUUUUAAAACAACUUAUAUUAUAUUGUUAGUACCGAAACUGACACCUGUCUAGAUGUUGGCUAUCUAAUUAAAUAUUUGGAUUAUCAAAACAUUGAGGUUAAUGCUGAUUACUGACACCAGUUGAUUGCUGCAUGGAACAUCACAACACUUCAGGAGUGAAGUGGAAUGACCUGCAUUCCUUAAGUGACAGAUAGUGAAAGCAGGUCAACUCUAAUUAUAACCAUAUAUUGCCUGGAGUGCAAACAACAAACAUGCACUCUAACCUGAUAAUGGCAGACCUCUGACUUCCAUGUGAAAAAAUGAUACCAUGUUAACACCAGAAAUGAUUUUAUAUGGAUUGAAAAUACAAAAUACAAAACAGGAGCCAUUGAGGAGGUAGCAUACUUCAGUCAAUUGUCUUCCUGAGUUUCUUAAAUGUUUCACUGUCCUCCCAAUAUGUUGUAAUCUUCCACUAGAGGGCAACAUUAGCAUUUAUGCUAUACACCUAUGCUCACUAGUUUGCGGAACCCAUGGAAAUGUCCUGGGGGAAUAUGGGACCUUGAACUGUUCAUGGUCAAUCUACUCAAAAUUGGACAUUGCCUGGUCUUGUUUGGGUAGUAACUGCCAUAGAUAUUAGAUCACUGUC
This 6928-nucleotide long non-coding RNA is filed under the name Salmo salar (Atlantic salmon). RNAcentral describes it as "lncRNA (ENSSSAG00000086633.1)". The record is from RNAcentral. Lineage: Eukaryota; Metazoa; Chordata; Actinopteri; Salmoniformes; Salmonidae.